GUGGGGAAUCUUAGACAAUGGGGGAAACCCUGAUCUAGCCAUGCCGCGUGAGCGAUGAAGGCCUUAGGGUUGUAAAGCUCUUUCAGCUGGGAAGAUAAUGACGGUACCAGCAGAAGAAGCCCCGGCUAACUCCGUGCCAGCAGCCGCGGUAAUACGGAGGGGGAUAGCGUUGUUCGGAAUAACUGGGCGUAAAGCGCACGUAGGCGGAUCAGAAAGUCAGAGGUGAAAUCCCAGGGCUCAAGCUUGGAACUGGCUCUGAAACUCCUGGUCUUGAGGUCGAGAGAGGUGAGUGGAAUUCCGAGUGUAGAGGUGAAAUUCGUAGAUAUUCGGAGGAACACCAGUGGCGAAGGCGGCUCACUGGCUAGAUACUGACGCUGAGGUGCGAAAGCGUGGGGAGCAAACAGGAUUAGAAACCCGAGUAGUCC
Molecule: ribosomal RNA, 425 nt
Filed under: uncultured bacterium
Lineage: Bacteria
Description: partial 16S ribosomal RNA
Rfam family: Bacterial small subunit ribosomal RNA
Source: RNAcentral